GCCUGCUCUCAAUGUUUACUUCACUGCUGACCAGCCUCUCAACAACAAAUACUGCUGAAAAAGGAAAUCCUAUGGACAAAUAAGAGACAGUUGUAAAAUCAAAUGUAUCGCACUGAGUUCGUGGAUGGCUCACAAAGGGACAUUCAAACAUUUAGGAGAGUGAUGUAAUGGCUGAGACUACAUUAAACCAGUUUAAUAUAACAUGCUGUUGGUGUAACCUGGCCUAUUGUGUAAAGGGAUAUAAUGCGAAAAACAAAGCACAGCAUUUACACAAAGUAAAAUGAAUCUGCAGUUGUUGUUAUAGUAGUUUUCGGGUGUUGCCUGAUUUCAUUUAGUUGCCUACUAAUCAACAGCAGAAAGGAACAGAGGAACAUGAAGGUCAUUCAUUUAGCGUUGUGUUUCUGACCACCCGAUGAAUUUACAUCCAACAUUGACUUUCUUUUUAUGUCUAUGUUUAUAUUUCCCUCGAUAAUUGUCGAAAUGUUCCCGCUAUGUUCACCAGUGGAUGGUUGGUGCUGAACGGGUAGCGUAGUCUUUUCCAAUGAAAACAGCUGCAACAGGAGAACAACCGCUGGAACUAGACAAGUCGAAUAUUAUCAUUUGAUGAUUCUUUUUUGUUAUCUACCUACAUAACAACAAUGUCCAGCUAGAGCUGUCCAAUGGAUUUGUUUCAUCUUGUGAAAAAACGUGCGCUGGGCCUCAAGGCCUCUGUCAAGGUCGAGGCCCUGAGCGAAAUGAGCUCGGGGCCGUCGCCAAGCCGAUAGAUCAUCAACUAACACGAGUGAAACAGGCACGUGAGCUGUUACGUAUUAGCAUUCACAGCUUGUGCAAAACACUAACAAAAGACUCAAAGCCUCAGCUGCCAAACCGUCUUACUUCUGCAGGUGUGGAAGAGAAGGUUGUGAACAAAAUGUGCUCAGGGAGACGAAUGAAAGCAGGAGGGCAGGAGAUUCGGGGUAAGAGGGGAGAUUGGAUAAUGAGGCGAGCGGAGAACAAGGUGAAGUCUGAGGAUAUCUUAAUCUUCAUCCCAAUUUUCUAUGAUGAAUUGCCUUUGGCUGCAGCAGUGCCAGGUCAAGAGGACGUUUCCAGCCAACAGCAAUGCAGCCACAUCCAUCACACCGGGAGAGACAGGCGGCCGAGAUCCAUCACUCACUCUUGCCGUUCUGGAGACUGCGGUUGUAGCCCACGGGGCUGAAGAACUCGAAGA
Pungitius pungitius (ninespine stickleback) is the source of this 1207-nucleotide long non-coding RNA. RefSeq lists it as uncharacterized. Lineage: Eukaryota; Metazoa; Chordata; Actinopteri; Perciformes; Gasterosteidae. The record is from RefSeq and is a predicted model, not a curated record. The transcript is spliced from 3 exons.